AGUGAACGCUGGCGGUAGGCCUAACACAUGCAAGUCGAACGGCAGCACAGAGGAGCUUGCUCCUUGGGUGGCGAGUGGCGGACGGGUGAGGAAUACAUCGGAAUCUACUCUGUCGUGGGGGAUAACGUAGGGAAACUUACGCUAAUACCGCAUACGACCUACGGGUGAAAGCAGGGGAUCUUCGGACCUUGCGCGAUUGAAUGAGCCGAUGUCGGAUUAGCUAGUUGGCGGGGUAAAGGCCCACCAAGGCGACGAUCCGUAGCUGGUCUGAGAGGAUGAACAGCCACACUGGAACUGAGACACGGUCCAGACUCCUACGGGAGGCAGCAGUGGGGAAUAUUGGACAAGGGGCGCAAGCCUGAUCCAGCCAUACCGCGUGGGUGAAGAAGGCCUUCGGGUUGUAAAGCCCUUUUGUUGGGAAAGAAAUCCAUCUGGUUAAUACCCGGGUGGGAUGACGGUACCCAAAGAAUAAGCACCGGCUAACUUCGUGCCAGCAGCCGCCGUAA
This 506-nucleotide ribosomal RNA is filed under the name uncultured bacterium. RNAcentral's name for it is "partial 16S ribosomal RNA". It matches the Rfam family "Bacterial small subunit ribosomal RNA", at positions 29 to 523 of the family's 1533-position model. The record is from RNAcentral.